This 253-nucleotide ribosomal RNA is filed under the name uncultured bacterium. RNAcentral describes it as "partial 16S ribosomal RNA". It matches the Rfam family "Bacterial small subunit ribosomal RNA", at positions 524 to 776 of the family's 1533-position model. The record is from RNAcentral.
UACGGAGGGUGCGAACGUUAAUCGGAAUCACUGGGCGUAAAGCGUGCGCAGGCGGUUUUGUAAGCCGGAUGUGAAAUCCCCGGGCUUAACCUGGGAAUGGCAUUCGGGACUGCAAGGCUGGAGUGCGGCAGAGGAGACUGGAAUUCCUGGUGUAGCAGUGAAAUGCGUAGAUAUCAGGAGGAACACCGAUGGCGAAGGCAGGUCUCUGGGCUGACACUGACGCUCAUGCACGAAAGCGUGGGGAGCAAACAGG